Molecule: ribosomal RNA, 331 nt
Filed under: uncultured bacterium
Lineage: Bacteria
Description: partial 16S ribosomal RNA
Rfam family: Bacterial small subunit ribosomal RNA
Source: RNAcentral
CCUACGGGUGGCAGCAGUGAGGAAUAUUGGUCAAUGGACGGAAGUCUGAACCAGCCAAGCAGCGUGCAGGAUGACGGCUCUAUGAGUUGUCAACUGCUUUUGUACAAGGGUAAACCUGAAUACGUGUAUUCCGCUGCAAGUACUGUAUGAAUAAGGAUCGGCUAACUCCGUGCCAGCAGCCGCGGUAAUACGGAGGAUCCCAGCUUUAACCGGAUUUAUUGGGUUUAAAGGGAGCGUAGGCGGAUUGUUAAGUUCGCGGUGAAAUGUCCGAGCUUAACUCGGGAACUGCCUCUAAUACUGGUGAUCUAGAGAGUAGGGGCGGUAGGCGGAA